CCUACGGGUGGCAGCAGUGAGGAAUAUUGGUCAAUGGCCGAGAGGCUGAACCAGCCAAGUCGCGUGAGGGAAGAAGGCUCUAUGGGUUGUAAACCUCUUUUGUCGGGGAGCAAAGCGAACCACGUGUGGAUAUUUGCGAGUACCCGAAGAAAAAGCAUCGGCUAACUCCGUGCCAGCAGCCGCGGUAAUACGGAGGAUGCGAGCGUUAUCCGGAUUUAUUGGGUUUAAAGGGUGCGCAGGUGGUGGUGCAAGUCAGCGGUAAAAAUUUGGGGCUCAACCCCAUCGUGCCGUUGAAACUGGUGUACUUGAGUGGGCGAGAGGUAGGCGGAAUGCGUGGUGUAGCGGUGAAAUGCAUAGAUAUCACGCAGAACUCCGAUUGCGAAGGCAGCAUAC
RNAcentral lists this ribosomal RNA (393 nucleotides) under uncultured bacterium. Its description in RNAcentral is "partial 16S ribosomal RNA". It matches the Rfam family "Bacterial small subunit ribosomal RNA", at positions 338 to 729 of the family's 1533-position model. The record is from RNAcentral.